AUGAAGAAGAAGUUAGACCAA
RNAcentral lists this small RNA (21 nucleotides) under Arabidopsis thaliana (thale cress). Its description in RNAcentral is "ATSL005430". The record is from RNAcentral. Lineage: Eukaryota; Viridiplantae; Streptophyta; Magnoliopsida; Brassicales; Brassicaceae.